ACCGUGCAAAGGUAGCAUAAUCACUUGUUCCUUAAUUAGGGACUUGUAUGAACGGUUAAAUGAGGGCAAAACUGUCUCCUACAGUUAAUCAAUGAACCUGAUCUUACAGUACAAACGCUGUAAUUUACUUAUAAGACGAGAAGACCCUGUGGAGCUUUAAACUUCUACAUUAAAUUAAAACUAUAUUAUAAUGUAAAAUUUUAAGUUGGGGCGACUGUGGAGUAAAAAAAAACCUCCAUGAAACUCGACUAAUCCUCGUCAUAAAGGCCAACAAGCCUAACAAAAACGUUUGACCCAAUCAUAUUGAAUACCGAACCAAGUUACCCCAGGGAUAACAGCGCCAUCCCCUUAAAGAGUUCACAUCGCCAAGGGGGUUUAC
Molecule: ribosomal RNA, 379 nt
Filed under: Phelsuma guttata
Lineage: Eukaryota; Metazoa; Chordata; Lepidosauria; Squamata; Gekkonidae
Description: partial 16S ribosomal RNA
Rfam family: Bacterial large subunit ribosomal RNA
Source: RNAcentral